RNAcentral lists this transfer RNA (72 nucleotides) under Ictidomys tridecemlineatus (thirteen-lined ground squirrel). Its description in RNAcentral is "Spermophilus tridecemlineatus (thirteen-lined ground squirrel) tRNA". It matches the Rfam family "tRNA". From Rfam's summary of the family: Transfer RNA (tRNA) molecules are approximately 80 nucleotides in length. Their secondary structure includes four short double-helical elements and three loops (D, anti-codon, and T loops). Lineage: Eukaryota; Metazoa; Chordata; Mammalia; Rodentia; Sciuridae. The record is from Rfam by way of RNAcentral.
AGAGGUGUAGCUCAGUGGUAGAGUGCUUGCCUAGCAUGCAGUAGGCUCUGGAUUAGAUGCCUAGCACCACAC